GAUCCUGGCUCAGGACGAACGCUGGCGGCGCGCCUAACACAUGCAAGUCGAACGGAGAUUACAGGCGGAAGUUUUCGGAUGGAAGCUUGUAAACUUAGUGGCGGACGGGUGAGUAACACGUGAGCAACCUGCCUAUCAGAGGGGGAUAACGAUUGGAAACGAUCGCUAAUACCGCAUGACAUAGCGGAAUCGCAUUGGUUUUGCUAUACAAAGUAUUUUAUCGCUGAUAGAUGGGCUCG
Molecule: ribosomal RNA, 239 nt
Filed under: uncultured bacterium
Lineage: Bacteria
Description: partial 16S ribosomal RNA
Rfam family: Bacterial small subunit ribosomal RNA
Source: RNAcentral